CUCAGGAUGAACGCUAGCGGCAGGCUUAACACAUGCAAGUCGAGGGGUAACGGGAGUGCUUGCACUCGCCGACGACCGGCGCACGGGUGCGUAACGCGUAUAGAACCUACCUUUUACAGAGGGAUAGCCUUUAGAAAUGAAGAUUAAUACCUCAUAGGAUUAAAGAUUGGCAUCAAUCAUUAAUUAAAGAUUUAUCGGUAAAAGAUGGCUAUGCGUCCUAUUAGUUAGAUGGUAAGGUAACGGCUUACCAUGGCUUUGAUAGGUAGGGGUCCUGAGAGGGAGCUCCCCCACACUGGUACUGAGACACGGACCAGACUCCUACGGGAGGCAGCAGUGAGGAAUAUUGGUCAAUGGAGGCAACUCUGAACCAGCCAUGCCGCGUGCAGGAAGACUGCCCUAUGGGUUGUAAACUGCUUUUAUACAGGAAGAAAGCUUUUACGAGUUAGAGGUUUGACGGUACUGUAGGAAUAAGCACCGGCUAACUCCGUGCCAGCAGCCGAGUU
RNAcentral lists this ribosomal RNA (503 nucleotides) under uncultured bacterium. Its description in RNAcentral is "bacterial SSU rRNA". It matches the Rfam family "Bacterial small subunit ribosomal RNA", at positions 23 to 521 of the family's 1533-position model. The record is from RNAcentral.